CGGAGGGCGCAAGCGUUGUUCGGAAUCAUUGGGCGUAAAGCGCGUGUAGGCGGCUUGGCAAGUCGAGUGUGAAAGCCCGGGGCUCAACCCCGGAAGGUCGCUCGAAACUGCCUCGCUCGAGUCCCGGAGAGGAAGGCGGAAUUCCCGGUGUAGAGGUGAAAUUCGUAGAUAUCGGGAGGAACACCAGCGGCGAAGGCGGCCUUCUGGACGGUGACUGACGCUGAGACGCGAAAGCGUGGGGAGCAAACAGGAUU
This 254-nucleotide ribosomal RNA is filed under the name uncultured bacterium. RNAcentral's name for it is "partial 16S ribosomal RNA". It matches the Rfam family "Bacterial small subunit ribosomal RNA", at positions 526 to 779 of the family's 1533-position model. The record is from RNAcentral.